GAUGGCCACAUUGAAACACAGAUUCUUGUAAGAUCACUGAAGUUAAGCAACAUUAAGUUUGGUCAGUACUUAGAUGGGUGACCACUUGGGAAUACCAGGUGCUAUA
Acanthosepion pharaonis is the source of this 106-nucleotide non-coding RNA. The record is from the annotation of a GenBank genome assembly. Lineage: Eukaryota; Metazoa; Mollusca; Cephalopoda; Sepiida; Sepiidae.